RNAcentral lists this long non-coding RNA (5914 nucleotides) under Gossypium barbadense (sea-island cotton). RNAcentral's name for it is "long non-coding RNA (GBAR_LNC009601)". Lineage: Eukaryota; Viridiplantae; Streptophyta; Magnoliopsida; Malvales; Malvaceae. The record is from RNAcentral.
AAAUUUCUACUAUCAUAGUUGAUGUCCUGAUUACUUGUUCUUGUUGAGAAUAAAUACUGCUGGUAACGAUUUUAUGGUCAUCAACAUCAGAGGAAGCGGUGUGAAUGAGUAUUCUGCUCUUGCUUGAUCCUUUAUCUCCUGAAUUUCUUUUGGGCGAAUUCCUACCUGAAUUUUUUUUCCCUUUCCCGAGCUUGUGUUUGUUGUUGCCUAGAAUUUAUGCGACUCUGCAUUAUUGCUGCCAAAAUGAGUCAAAAAUUUGUGCUGUUUCUUCCAGUAGUUCAUGAAUACAUUGAUAGUUACUGUGUGAAGUUCUUCAUCAGCCUAUUCAACUUGUUCAUUAAGAGUUUAAUUUGAUGAAACCAGGUGAAAAAUGUGAGGGCUUUCAUCCUUCAUUUUCUUUAUGUUCUGAUGGAAAAACCAAUCUUGGAUCUUCAUUGAUGCUUUAUAUGGAUAAUUCAGUUCUAUUUUUCUUUUGGUUAUGGUUAGUAAGGUGACCUUAAAUGUGGUAAAGGUAAGAGGGAGGAUGCUCAAAGGAUGGAAAGUUUUCCCUUUAAAAGAUAAGCAAAUGAAUAUAUCUAUAUCUUGCAUGUGCAGUGCCAUAACAUUGUCUCAGCUUCAUACCUUCUGGUAUUCCAACCCAGUUUUCGUGGUAAUUUUAAAUUACCUGCACUGCACUCUACUUUCCAAUUUCCAUAUGUGUUGCCUUUUGUUCACCAUCAUCUUGCUUUAUCACAACCUCAUAGCAGGUUUAUAUUGAAUUUUUAUGCUUCAUUUAAGUGAUACUCACUGUUUUUCGAGCAUUACAUCUUUCAAGAAGGAUCAUACAAGUCUUUCCUAGCAUGUCGUUUUUAGGAUAGGAAAAUUACAUUAAAGUGUUCUGUUAUUUUUCUGGUUAGGCUAAUAGAGUCCUCUCUCUGUCAUUGUAGCUGAAGAACAUUGGAGGCUGUAUUAAAUAUCUUAACUUCCAUUCUUCCAUGCAUAUGAAUUACAUUGUGUAUCUCAAAUCAUUAUGUCAUAUUUUUGUUUGGGUUUUUACUUCUUUGAUUAUCUGAUACGAGUCACAAAAACCCAAAUUUUUGAAGGCGAGGCCCAAUAAGCAAAUUCCCAGCCCAAUCAAGAAAUCCAUCCAUACUUAGUUGAAAAUCAGGCUAAAUUGUCAAAGUGGCCCAAGUUGUAAGGUUUUAUUUUUAUUUUUAUUUAUUUAUUUAUUUAUUUACUUAGUUUAAAUUUUUAUGUCAAUAUUCAGUCCAAGAGUCCCAGAUAAAAUGACCUUUGACCGAAUUUCCAUAUUAAAAUAAUUAGGAGUUUUUUUUAUUUUAGUUUUCUAAUUAGAUUAGGACUAGUUAUAAGGCUUAUUUAAAGGCAUGGCUGUCCACCUUGUAAAACACUUAUCAUUAUUAUUAAAAUUUCAGAUUUGUUGAGAGCAGAAUUUUCUUUGAGUUUUCUCCAAGAUUUCUCUCUUGAGUUUUCUUUAGAAGUUGUUUUAACAAUCUUGUGAUUGUGGGAGCCAUCUUCAACCUUCUUCUUGCCAUUGAUAUUCUUUGGAGGGGAGAUUAGAGCCGUUUGAAGGGAGUUGUGAGAUCUUUCGAGAUUUCAAGGCUUCUUAGGACUUAUCUUUUAAUUUCUUACUGUCAAUUCUUUCUUUAUUUCUACUUGUGCUGAAUCAUUAUCUAAUCUAUUUUCUGUUCUUAUUGUGUUUUCAGCCUUUUUCUAUCUUAAGGAAUCAGCCCAAAAAUCCCUAAUUUUUAGGGUUUUUCCAUACUCUUUUUGGGUGAAAUUAGAUUGUCGAAAUUUGGGGAAAACUAUCUUGGUGUUCAAUUGGGCAGAAUCACAAUCUCCUUGAGGGUUUCAAGAACCCUAACACUUAUUUCUAUUCUCAAUUUGAUUCUUUGCUGAUUUGGGGAUUUUAUUUCAAAUCUGAAAAUUCAAAAAUCUAAUCUUUUAAUUUUCUGUUUCGUUUCAGAUCUAAUUGUUUAGGGUUUUCGUAGGAGUUUCCCGUGACUUGGCAACUCGAUCUUGGUCCGCGCGCAACCCCGUAUCAUUUGGUAUCAGAUUUUGGGCGUUUUGGGUGUUCUUGGUUGAUUUCUAAACUGAUCUCUAUUUUUUAAAGCAUAAACAGCAGUUUUACCCAGAAAAAUUGUUCAAAAAAAUUCAUUUGAGUGGGUAAACGUUGUCCGAUUGAUCUGAAAUUUUACAUACAUGUGUUUGGCACUGUGAUUGAAUACAAAAAAAUUAUUCCCGCAAAAAAAUCAGUCAAAAAGUCAAAAAAAUCGAAAAAAAGACGAAAUCCAAUAAAAAUUUUAAAAAAAUUCAGCGGGUUGAGUUUGGUGCCCAAACUUUCCAGAUCAAAAAUUAAAUAUUUAAGGACAUUCGAGAUUUAAUUUUGUGAUUUUUUGAGAUCAGGAACACCUCGAACGAAGUUGUCAAGUUACUCUACAGUUUUUCGGGUUUUCUGUUUUCAGCAAUUUUUAUUGAUUCUUAGCUGUAGGUUUUCAUUUGUUUGCUUUUUAUUAUUCUUUUAAAAUAUCUAACACCUUCUUGUUUCUUGUGUUAGUAGGAUUUAAACGUGUGCACAAUCCUUCCUCGGUGCAACACGAAUCACUUGGUGUCUCGUCAGUUUUUGGCAUCCUAGUGCAAAUUAGGAUUCUUUGGUAGUUUGGUUCACACUCUCUAAUUGGUUGAUAUAAACUCUAAUAAAGAACUCACAAGAUUGAAUUCGAUCUCAUUGAGAAUUUGAUUUUUCUUUUUGAGUGAUUAAUGGUGAGUUUGCUAACUUUUAUUUUUGAGUGUUGAGUAUUUAUUUUUUACAGGUUUUAAAGAUGUCUAAAGGUGAUAAUAAUGAUGCACUUAUGAAAGUCCAACAACAGUUAGACAGACAUACUGCUGUAAUCACACAAAUAAAUGCUACACCUCAAGCAUUGAAUACUACUUUGAAUGAGGUACGAGUGAAUCAAAAACAUCAAUAUCGAGAUCCAAUUAAGGAAGAUAGGGAUAACCAGCCCCAUAGGUGCAACCCUCAACGUGUCCCUAGAAUGGAUGAUGAUUGUCAUGAUCAUGGACAAUCAUCUUUGGCAAAACCAAAGAGCGAGCAGCAACGAGAACAUCUCUUUCAUACUCGCUGCCACGUACAAUGUAAGCUUUGUAGAGUUAUUAUUGAUGGUGAAAGUUGCUCGAACAUAGCCAGCACGACGAUGGUGGAAAAGCUUUGCUUAACCACUACCAAGCAUUCACAACCUUAUCAACUACAAGGGCUUAGCAACGAAGGCCAAUUUAGGGUCACUCAACAAGUGCGCAUCGCCUUUUCUAUCGGUAAGUAUCAAGACGAAGUUGUGUGCGACGUAAUGCCUAUUCAAGCCUGCCAUUUGUUGCUAGGAGAACCGUGGCAACUAGAUCGAAAAGUCACUCACGAUGGUCGUACCAAUAGGUAUUCUUUCAAGCAUCAAGGAAAGAAACUCACCUUAGUGCCGCUCACUCUAGAACAAGUCCAUGAGGACCAAAUCAAACUGAAAAAUUCUGUUAAAACAAGUGAGGAAAAAGAAAAAGAGAAUGAAAAAGAGCAAAAAGAGAUUGAGAGUGAAAAAGAAAUUGAAGAAAGAAGAGAAAAUGAAUUAGAAAAAGAAACAAAAGAAAAAGACGUGGAAAGGGUAGUGAGGAAUCUUUCCACUAACCAAGAUAUGAAUUUUUCUUGUGUUGCUACUUUUCAGGUUCCCGAAAGAUCGAAAGAUAACUUUCAACUUCAAUACCUCUCAAAUGAAAGACGCUUUCAUACGAUCAACUUAAGCAAAGAUGAAAUCACACUACAUGAUCCCGAAGGUAAGCGAGGUAAGGAAAUUUUAGAAACCGAGUCCAGUGCAGAUUUGAAAAUUAUUGAUAAAACUUUUGGUGACUUAGUUUUUAAAAGAUCCCCUCAUUUUGAUCCGAUUAAUUGUUACUCUUCGAUUGUGGUUGAUAAAGUCAUUACGAAAAGAAGCGUGAUUUGUUAUUCUCUUGAUUUACCUUGUGUAAAAUUCUCGAAUUUGUCCAAAUCUGUUUUGGAGAAUAAGGUAACGAAAUUUUCCAAAUUUGUUUUCAAUUUAUAUUCGUGCCUUAAACAAUUUAUGUGGUUGUACAUGAAGUUUGAGUUCCAUUUGACAAAGGUUAACUCAACAACGGAGAUUCGACUACACUAUGCUCCCGAUGAGCGAAGGUUUGUUUUAAAUGAAAAAGGUAAAAUCGACCCUUAUUCUUCUGCUUAUCGAGGUAAGAUGCUUGAAACCUUUGAAACACUUUUGUACUCCUCGGAUAGUGAUAAAGAUCGUGUUGAUGAACACUUAGAUCGAAACGUGCUUGACUGUCCUAUUUUAUUUAUUGAUGAUCUAUCUGUUUUGAUAGUUGAUAAAAAGAUUCUUGUUUUUGAUAAUGCAUGUGUGAGUGAAUCUAUAGACCGUUGAUUAAUGCAUGGUAUGAUUAUGCAACUCUGUGAACCAUGUGAAUCUUUUCAAAUACCUACUUGUGACGAUUAUGUUUACCAUUUGAUUUAUUACUCGCAAUUUAUUCAUGGUUUGUGGGAAUAAUGUGAGACGACUGAAUGCCUUAAAACAUGUCCAUCUUUGUUUCAAAUAUUUGACGAGGCAGUGGUGAGUAAAUUAGAUUGUUUGCAUGGUAAUCUGAAUCUGUCCAUUCACAUGCGUUAUACCUGUUCUGUUAUGCUUAUGAUUGGACUACAAGCUUGUUUCCGUUGCUAUUUACUAUCUCAUGGCUAUUCUUUUCAGUGGACUCAAUUGCCAUUAGUCCCGUUCGAUAGAGGAAAGUCGAGUUCAUUUGAUUUUUCAGAUUCGAGGACGAAUCUUUUUGAGGAAGGGGGAAUGAUACGAGUCACAAAAGCCCAAAUUCUUAAAGGCGAGGCCCAAUAAGCAAAUUUCUAGCCCAAUCAAGAAAUCCAUCCAUACUUAGUUGAAAAUCAGGCCAAAUUGUCAAAGUGGCCCAAGUUGUAAAGUUUUAUUUUUAUUUUUAUUUAUUUAUUUAUUUAUUUACUUAGUUUAAAUUUUUAUGUCAAUAUUCAGUCCAAGAGUCCCAGAUAAAAUGACCUUUGACCGAAUUUUUAUAUUAAAAUAAUUAGGAGUUUUUUUUAUUUUAGUUUUCUAAUUAGAUUAGGACUAGUUAUAAGGCCUAUUUAAAGGCAUGGCUGUCCACCUUGUAAAACACUUAUCAUUAUUAUUAACAUUUCAGAUUUGUUGAGAGCAGAAUUUUCUUUGAGUUUUCUCCAAGAUUUCUCUCUUGAGUUUUCUUUAGAAGUUGUUUUAACAAUCUUGUGAUUGUGGGAGCCAUCUUCAACCUUCUUCUUGCCAUUGAUAUUCUUUGGAGGGGAGAUUAGAGCCGUUUGAAGGGAGUUGUGAGAUCUUUCGAGAUUUCAAGGCUUCUUAGGACUUAUCUUUUAAUUUCUUACUGUCAAUUCUUUCUUUAUUUCUACUUGUGCUGAAUCAUUAUCUAAUCUAUUUUCUGUUCUUAUUGUGUUUUCAGCCUUUUUCUAUCUUAAGGAAUCAGCCCAAAAAUCCCUAAUUUCUAGGGUUUUUCCAUACUCUUUUUGGGUGAAAUUAGAUUGUCGAAAUUUGGGGAAAACUAUCUUGGUAUUCAAUUGGGCAGAAUCACAAUCUCCUUGAGGGUUUCAAGAACCCUAACACUUAUUUCUAUUCUCAAUUUGAUUCUUUGCUGAUUUGGGGAUUUUAUUUCAGAUCUGAAAAUUCAAAAAUCUAAUCUUUUAAUUUUCUGUUUCGUUUCAGAUCUAAUUGUUUAGGGUUUUCGUAGGAGUUUCUCGUGACUUGACAACUCGAUCUUGGUCCGCGCGCAACCCCGUAUCAUUAUCUGUCUUCUUUUUACAGGUUUGUUGCAUAUGGAGCAACCAAACGUAGUGUUGUGCAUUUGACAAAAUCGCUGC